This 415-nucleotide unclassified non-coding RNA is filed under the name uncultured Sebacinaceae. Its description in RNAcentral is "sequence contains ITS2". The stretch from base 1 to 154 matches the Rfam family "5.8S ribosomal RNA". Lineage: Eukaryota; Fungi; Basidiomycota; Agaricomycetes; Sebacinales; Sebacinaceae. The record is from RNAcentral.
AACUUUCAGCAACGGAUCACUUGGCUCUCGCAUCGAUGAAGAACACAGCGAAAUGUGAUAAGUAAUGUGAAUUGCAGAAUCCAGUGAAUCAUCGAAUCUUUGAACGCACCUUGCACCCUUUGGUAUUCCAAAGGGUAUGCUCGUUUGAGUGUCAUUGUACUCUCAUACUCUCUGAUCUUAGGAUUGGGAGUGGUGGACUUGGGUGUUGCUGCUUCACUGUGGCUCACCUGAAAUGCAUUAGUGCAACUGUUGACUAACCAUAGUAUGGCAUGAUAAGCAUCUUUGCCAGCACCUCUCCGGAGGGUGGUCAGUCAAGAGCUCUGUGCUUCUAACUGUCUUUGGACAAUGUUGACAACUUGACCUCAAAUCGAGUAGGACUACCCGCUGAACUUAAGCAUAUCAAUAAGCGGAGGCU